GGUAAAGUGGCUGAAAUUAGGCGAUAAAUUGUAAAUUUAUUUAAAGGUAUUUACCUCUUUACUA
RNAcentral lists this transfer RNA (64 nucleotides) under Robertsicus elaphensis. Its description in RNAcentral is "tRNA-Tyr". The record is from RNAcentral. Lineage: Eukaryota; Metazoa; Arthropoda; Arachnida; Ixodida; Ixodidae.